Clupea harengus (Atlantic herring) is the source of this 3421-nucleotide RNA transcript. It is a transcript of the gene named ectonucleoside triphosphate diphosphohydrolase 5-like, with no coding region annotated. The transcript is spliced from 15 exons. Lineage: Eukaryota; Metazoa; Chordata; Actinopteri; Clupeiformes; Clupeidae. The record is from RefSeq and is a predicted model, not a curated record.
CCCCCCCCCCCCCCCAAUUGAUACUGCUCUUGUUCUUUAAAUCCUAUGUACUCCGUGGCUGGAAACCUGGAGAUCGUCAUCACGACCGAGAUCCUGAGAUAGCUUGGCUAUCUGCACCAUCUGAACUGUGUUGCCAUCUUCUGAACUUUCCCGACCACGAACUGUUACCCUCUCCAACAGCCGUCCCAGGAGAAGACUCUUGAAACGACUGUUCCGAAAUGAAAUGCCAUGUGUUGUAUACCCUGUUGAUAUGUUUUGUGUGUAAAGGGAAAUUGUGACAUCGACAGCCAUCAUGAGGUUCACAGAGAUAACACCUUCUUGCAGGCUGCGCACGGUUUGGCCAAAGCUAAAGGAGUGCAAGCUUGUUGGGUUUGUGGGUUAAUGCAAACCUCCUCACAGGUACCACCUUACAUUGCUGUCCCCUUCACAAUCCCUGAAUACACUGCUGCCUAUGGAACACCCUCCAUAGAUGCCCCCUUUUACACGGUGCCCAUGGACACAGGUCCCCCCACUAAGAUUAGAUUGAGCUACGCCCCGUAGGAAUUAUUUGCUGGGUUAACUCCGGCAAUGGACAGGUUAUGGGUAAUAGUACAUGUACCUACACUACUGACGUAGGCAGCCCUGGUAUUCAGAUCGAGCAAGAUGGUGUCACGAUUGAAGUCCCCCUCCCUACGAGGGUGGCCGCAGACCAUCGUAUAAAAGACACUGACACCAUGCUUGCAUUAAAUGGGUCCAUGUUUGUAUGUGGGUCCACUGCUUACUCUUACCUCCCUGUCUCCUGGUCGGGUUCCUGCUAUAUGGCCUACGUGGUCCCUGCUCUAGGAAUUGAAGAUGAAAAGCAUAUCAAAGGUGAUGCCACUGGUCAGAGCAGAUCCAAGCGUGAUCUGUUUGGUAAUAAUUCCCCCAUUGCUACCCCAACACAGAAACAUUUCCUUUUCUAAGGAACUGGAGUCACAUGCGCUUGACAAUCCGUCAGAAGAAUCCGCAGGGAUCUGGCCUCAAAACAAGCAACCGCUUGCUUUUGCGUACUCCUGCUGACAGACGCAAACAUGAAUGUGUGUGAAACAAAAAAUUUGUGCAGUGUUUAUUUGUAAUUUGCAUCCAGGAGCUAUUCGUUUUGCUGUUUCAGAAAUUCCACUGCGUAUCCACCCUAUCAUUACACACAUUACGCAAAGUUAACACAAGGAGGACGACGCUGAAGAUACCUUUCCUAACAUAAAAGCAAUUACAGUCUUAAGAUACUGAGGAUAAGAUCUGUUGGGAACACUGAGCUCUAACCGCAGAAACUGUAUGUUUACAUCGUGAAGGAGAAAACCGCUAGUUUAGAUCUCAACACUAUGGAAUGUGCCCAUGAGACGAAAACAUCUUGUCAGUUUUACAACUUUAUUUGUGAACUUCACGAACAUUGCUUGUAUUGUAUAGUUUUACUAGUGUGAUUAGAUAUUAAGCGCUCAGUACGUUUCUGAAGCCCGUCGUGUUGUCCCAUUCAACACAUUUCACUGUUUUCUGUAGUACUACUACGCAAGGCGCAGCACACACCAUAACCGCUUAAUUCAUUAACUUUGUUGACAUGUUUGUGCGUCAUGCCAAACAUUACUAAUCUAAUUGAGGGAGUUGGUUUAUCUAUAGCCAUAUAUAGUAACCGUUAACGUAACUCGCCAGCCCUGCACGAAUGUUUUUCUCCAACUGUAUCACGCGUAGAGGGCGAGUAAUAGGCAGCUCAGGCUCCGCUAAUUUGGGCACAACUGCGUGCGGAUGAAAUGCGUCUCAGUUUGGAUGAUUGAAAUCAGACAUUUUGUUGAAUGGGCUUCGUUGGGGUGUGAGCUUUUUAUUUGGAAUGAAAAUGGGCAUUUCUCCGCAGGAUUCCAAACCCAACUCAGUUCACCACAGAUAUCUCCUGGCAGCUAGCUUGUGACGGUCCAUCCUGCUUGACCUGCCCCAUCUCCGUCGCUGAAGAUGGCCCCUUGCCUUGUCCUACUCUCCCUGUGGCUUCUGGUUGGCUGCUGCCUGACCCAGGGCACCGGUGCCAGCGGCAUCGACAUCGCUGCCAACCUGGGCAGCGUCCUGCCCACACUCUCACGCCCUGCCAACGCCAGCCGCAUCUUCUACGGGGUGAUGUUUGACGCAGGGAGCACUGGCACACGCAUCCACAUCUACACCUUCAUCCUGUCUGCACCAGACGAGCUGCCCGUUCUGGAUAAUGAAAUGUUCCACAACGUUAAGCCUGGUCUGUCUGCGUUUGCUGACACGCCUGAGAUUGCUGGAGAGACGGUGCGGCAGCUGCUGCGAGUGGCAAAGAAGACGGUUCCCCGUCUGGAGUGGAAGAGAACCCCAGUGGUGCUGAGAGCCACCGCCGGCCUCAGGCUCCUCCCACCUAAGAAGGCCCAGGCCCUACUGGACCAGGUUCAAGAUGCCUUUGAUGAAUCCCCUUUCCUGGUUCCCGAGGACAGCGUCACCAUCAUGAACGGCACCAGCGAAGGGAUCCUUGCCUGGGUGACGGUGAACUACCUGACUGGUCACCUCCAGGCGAAGAGCAAAACCACAGCGGGGAUCCUGGACCUUGGCGGAGGAUCUACUCAAAUCACCUUUUUGCCCAAACUCAAGAAAACCACUGAAAGCGCUCCUGCAGAUCACAUAGCCAAGUUUGAUCUCCUUACUACAACAUACAAGCUCUAUAGUCACAGCUACCUGGGGAAUGGAAUCAAAGCAGCUCGUCUGGCCGCGCUGGGCGCUUUGGGAGCUGAAGGCCUAGAGUGGAAGGUGUUUAAGAGCUCCUGCCUGCCUAAGAAGUUCCAGGAAGACUGGGGUUUUGGAGGCCUCGUCUAUAAGAUCAGUGGAAUCCAUGAUGGUUAUGCUGGGUACCGGCUGUGCUACCUGGAGAUGGAGCGUGUGGUGAAGGGCAUCGUGCACCAGCCCUACGAGCUCAAGGACUCCAGCGUCUUCUACGCCUUCUCCUACUACUUUGACAUCGCUGCAGCGGCUGGCCUCAUAGAUGAGAGCCAGGGUGGGAUGGUGAAGGUCUCUGACUUCAAGAGGAGAGCCAAAGAAGUCUGCAACAAAAUGGCCAAGCAUCGAGUGGAGAGUCCUUUCCUCUGCAUGGACAUCACGUACAUCACCUGCCUGCUGAAAGAUGGCUUCGGCUUCAAGGACCACACCGUGUUACAGUUGACUAAGAAGGUGAAUGCUGUAUAAUAACAUGAUGAAGUGAAUAUUGUAAUUGGUCUCUCCUGUAGUUGACUAAGAAGGUGAAUGCUGUAUAAUAACAUGAUGAAGUGAAUAUUGUAAUUGGUCUCUCCUGUAGUUGACUAAGAAGGUGAAGACGGUGGAGACCAGCUGGGCACUGGGGGCCAUGUUGGACCACUUCCAGAGCAUCAGAAUCCACUGAGGACGCUCCGUGGCUGGACACACACACACACACACA